Molecule: non-coding RNA, 23 nt
Filed under: Mus musculus (house mouse)
Lineage: Eukaryota; Metazoa; Chordata; Mammalia; Rodentia; Muridae
Source: RNAcentral
UGAUUGUAUGAAGGUUCAGUGUC